RNAcentral lists this ribosomal RNA (579 nucleotides) under uncultured bacterium. RNAcentral describes it as "partial 16S ribosomal RNA". It matches the Rfam family "Bacterial small subunit ribosomal RNA", at positions 355 to 925 of the family's 1533-position model. The record is from RNAcentral.
UGGGGAAUAUUGGACAAUGGGCGCAAGCCUGAUCCAGCCAUACCGCGUGGGUGAAGAAGGCCUUCGGGUUGUAAAGCCCUUUUGUUGGGAAAGAAAAGCAUUCGGUUAAUACCCGAUUGUUCUGACGGUACCCAAAGAAUAAGCACCGGCUAACUUCGUGCCAGCAGCCGCGGUAAUACGAAGGGUGCAAGCGUUACUCGGAAUUACUGGGCGUAAAGCGUGCGUAGGUGGUUGUUUAAGUCUGUCGUGAAAGCCCUGGGCUCAACCUGGGAAUUGCGAUGGAAACUGGGCGACUAGAGUGUGGCAGAGGGUAGUGGAAUUCCUGGUGUAGCAGUGAAAUGCGUAGAGAUCAGGAGGAACAUCCGUGGCGAAGGCGACUGCCUGGGCCAACACUGACACUGAGGCACGAAAGCGUGGGGAGCAAACAGGAUUAGAUACCCUGGUAGUCCACGCCCUAAACGAUGCGAACUGGAUGUUGGGUGCAAUUUGGCACGCAGUAUCGAAGCUAACGCGUUAAGUUCGCCGCCUGGGGAGUACGGUCGCAAGACUGAAACUCAAAUGAAUUGACGGGGUCAUAGC